RNAcentral lists this long non-coding RNA (770 nucleotides) under Homo sapiens (human). RNAcentral's name for it is "non-protein coding lnc-ANKRD20A3-2:3". The record is from RNAcentral. Lineage: Eukaryota; Metazoa; Chordata; Mammalia; Primates; Hominidae.
GGGAAUGAAGCCAUGGUGGGCCAGGGACUGGGCGUUACCCAGCAGGGGGCAGUGUGUGUGUCCUGGGGAGACCAAUGCCUGCCUGGAUGCGGAGGGGGCUGGUAGAGAGUGCCGGAGAGGCCUGGAGGAGACUUCGGACCUGCUUUCACAACUGCAGAGCCUCCUGGGGCCACACCUUGACAAAGGUGACUUUGGUCAGCUCUCCGGUCCAGACCCCCCAGGUGAGGUGGGCGAAAGAGCACCUGAUGGAGCCUCCCAGUCCUCUCAUGAGCCUAUGGAAGAUGCUGCUCCCAUUCUCUCCCUGUUAGCUUCCCCGGAUCCUCAAGCCAAGCAUCCUCAGGAUCUGGCCUCCACCCCAUCACCAGGCCCAAUGACCACCUCAGUCUCCUCCCUAAGUGCCUCCCAGCCACCAGAACCUUCCCUUCCCCUAGAACACCCCUCACCCGAGCCACCUGCACUUUUCCCUCACCCACCACACACCCCUGAUCCUCUGGCCUGCUCUCUGCCUCCUCCAAAAGGCUUCACUGCUCCUCCCCUGCGGGACUCCACACUGAUAACUCCAUCUCACUGUGACUCAGUGGCACUUCCACUGGGCACCGUCCCUCAAAGCUUGUCUCCACAUGAGGAUUUGGUGGCUUCUGUCCCAGCCAUCUCAGGCCUUGGUGGCUCAAACAGUCAUGUUUCUGCCUCCUCCCGGUGGCAGGAGACUGCCAGAACCUCGUGCGCCUUUAACUCAUCAGUCCAGCAAGAUCAUCUUUCCCGCCACCCAC